This 301-nucleotide ribosomal RNA is filed under the name uncultured bacterium. Its description in RNAcentral is "partial 16S ribosomal RNA". It matches the Rfam family "Bacterial small subunit ribosomal RNA", at positions 509 to 807 of the family's 1533-position model. The record is from RNAcentral.
CAGCAGCCGCGGUAAUACGUAGGGUGCAAGCGUUAAUCGGAAUUACUGGGCGUAAAGCGUGCGCAGGCGGUUUGUUAAGACAGAUGUGAAAUCCCCGGGCUCAACCUGGGAACUGCAUUUGUGACUGGCAAGCUAGAGUGUGGCAGAGGGGGGUGGAAUUCCGCGUGUAGCGGUGAAAUGCGUAGAGAUCUGGAGGAAUACCGGUGGCGAAGGCGGCCCCCUGGACAAAGACUGACGCUCAGGUGCGAAAGCGUGGGGAGCAAACAGGAUUAGAUACCCGAGUAGUCCCUGUCUCUUAUAC